AGAGCUUAAAGACUUCGCCUGAUCGCAGCUGAAAAGCCCUUGCUCAGAAACAGGCAAGAAGCUUGAGUUUGUACCCUCUCAAAGUGAUCAGUUUGGGUACAUAAUGCAGCCUGGGUGUAAUUGCUCCCAAGCCACUGUAGAUUGAGUGCUGUAUAUCCACAUGGGACAAGAGGAUGACCUCACACCAUCUUGCCAGAAGGAAGUGCACUAAUCCAGGGAGUGGCCCUCCAGUGAUAGCAGCUCAAGAUGAUUAAAGUCCUAGUAAGAUGAAAUGACUUCUAGAAUUUGGAAAUCAACUGUGAAAUCUGGCUCUCUGAACAAGUGCUGUGAGAACAAGCCUUUCACAUAGGCAGCCCUGUAAAAACAAUUUCAAUAUUUAAAGGCUCUCAAGCCUGUCAAUUUCAUUGAUCAAUGAAUCCUUGCUGUGCUGUCAUGUUGUUGACCCUGACAAGAUCUAUACCCAUUUGUUGGCUGUUAAAGGCAGAGUCCUGGGUUAAAUUCACAAUUAAUUGACUAUUUAAAUGUUGAAAUUACUUGCCUGACAGCUCCACAAGUGUUUCCUGCUCAUCUCCAAAUAUGCACGUUAAAAACAGAAGAAGGUAGGAUAAUGUCAGGUUGUCCCCAACUGACUGGCACUCUUCAGGACUUUAACCACCCUCCCCAACCCUGCCACUGCCACCCCAGCCUGUACGCCCCUACCACCUACCAGCAGUUAAAGUUCUGCCUAAUACAACCAAUGGGUUUUUUUAAGUUUGUAAAAAUUUGUUGAAGUUACGCCAUAGUGUAACCAUUUUCGGUGACAAAAGUCCAAUUGGGUAUGCUGUUGGUAAUGUUUCGAUAGCACAUUUUCCAGACUGUGGACAAGGCUUCAAGUCAGCAUGUUCUCCUCUCAAGAGGGAGAAGAACUCAGUCAUUGAAAACCAUCUGAUGAGUAAAAUUGUUAUUUUAGGACAGCCACAAACAAAUGCAAGAGACUCAACUUCACAGCAUGUCACUGUGAAAGGUAGCAGCUCCAGUGAUACAGAAAACACUCAGCUCCAGUAUAUGUAUGACAAAGCAUGCAAAGAGUAAAUGAUUAAUCAGGACUAGAUCCCAGGCAAAAAAUUUACUAUUUUUGUACUCUAUUAGACAGGAUUAUCAUAAUUGUUGAACUUGCUGAUCUAUCCAAGCUUAUAACAGCACCAGCUUGCAUUUAUAUUGCACCAUAAUGUAGAAAAAUAUCUCUCAAUGCUUCAUGUAGACAUAAUCACAAAUAACUGAUACCAAACCAAGGAAGGCAAUAUUAGGAGAGUGACCAAAAACUUGGUCAGAAGUGGGUUUAAAGGAAGAAAGAGAGAUGCAGAGAAUUAGGAAAUGAACAAAGGUUAUCUACCACCACACCAUAACCAUUAUCUGCAUAAUUACUGUGUGUGUUCAACAAAUACAUCUUAUCUGUAGACACUACAAAGUACAUCUCUUUUUUUUUCAAUCUCAAGAAUAGACUAUGGAAACUAUAAAUAAAUUUGGACUCUCAGAUCCAUCCACGAGACUGGAAUCAUGAGAUUGGUCCAAAAUAACCAAGGCUGAAGAAAGCAUCCAACGACAUUAGGAUUGCAGGAUCCAUCCGAAAAGACAGGGCUUAUGGGAAUCAAUUUUAUGAGACUAGGACAGUGGAAACCAUCCAAAGAAAUGGAACAGUGCAAGACAUCCAGGAGAAUGAAACUGUGGGUACCAUUCAAAAAUGCCGUCAUCUAAAUAUGUCUGGGAUGUGGAAUCUAACUAAAGAGACUGGGACUGAAAAAGUGAAAACCUACAGUGUGACCAAAAACUAUCCACAGAGACUAAGAUUUUUGAAUCUGUCAAGAGAGACUGGGAAUUGGGAUACAAAAGAAACUGGAUCUGUGGGAUUCGCCCAGAGUGGGAUUGUUGGAACUGUCCAGAGAAUGGAUCUGCCAGACCAAUGCAAAAAUACUGGGACUAACCAUUUGCUCUUAGACAUUACAACUAAGCAUGAUUACACUGAACUUGUCCUCACAUUAAUUCAACAGACAGGGCUUGAUUUGGUAUCUAACAUUUUGGAAGAUAAUCCCAGUUCUGAGGCCCAAUAGUUCCUGGAUCAAUGAAUGAUUAAAUUCCAAUCUAGUGAGUUUGACAUAAACUACGACAGAAGAUAAUCUCAGUCCUGAAAGUAAAGUGUAAUUAAAGGAAUUACACAAAUGCUGACUGAAAUAUGAUGUAAUUCCAAACCAAAAACCAUUUUCAAUGAAUGCAAUGACCUUUAGGCUCUUCUCCUAUCAAUCAGAUUGUAAAUAAGUAGCUUGUCUUGAUUACAAAAUUAAAGCUGUGCAAUAAUACCACAAAUGAAAAUACCUUCAUCUCCAUCCCUGCCUGCUACACAGCUGUUUUUAAAAUUUCUUCCUGCAGGGACGGAGCUGAAUGAAUGAAUGAUUACAUUUUCAAAUAAUUCUGAACUUUGCUGCCGAGGAAGUGAAAAUAUUUAGCUUUGUGACAGAAUUUAGUAUUAAAAAAAUCAGAAGAAAGAAAUUUAGAACUCCACACUGAUUAUACACAGAGUUAUAAGAGGCCUUUUCUAAGUUGCAUAGUGACCCACUGAAUAUCAAUCAUUUAAACUGCAUGUAGCAAUUAUGUAUAUAUUAUCAGACAGUGACAGUUCAGUCAUUGCUUCCCAGUAACACCUUCUCCAACCACUCCAUAGUCUGUCAUUGAUCACAUAACAUGUCCUUUGAAUUAAGACUAAGCUAAAGCUCCACUCCCGAGUUCCUACACUGCCGUCCUGUAAUAUUUUAUUCCUACUCGACAGCCCAACUCACACUGCCUUCUCCCCUGAAACACACUGCAGAUCACUCAUUCCCUUUACUUCCAUUCCAUUGCCUAGCAUUCAGCAUGAAUUCAGCUUAAGGUUUUUUCCCCCACCAGUUGUUUCAGCUUUUCUCUUCCUCCAGUCUCUUCUGUUAAUGUUGGCCCCAGUGAUCAUAUCUUAACAUACCUUCCAGCAGAUCAAUGCCAUCCUGUCAUCAGGCACUGUAAGAAGCUUCAAACUAAAUAUAUUUUUCAGCUCUACACUAAAAUUUGAUUUAUUUGCAAUCAGGACUUUAAAGAAAAUAAUGAAUCUAUCAAUUUAACAUUUAUUAUAAAAGGAUUAUCCUAGAUCAACUAAAACUGUUUUCCAUAUUGAGAGACUGCUUAGAAAUUAUAUUGUAAUAUGCCUGUAAGCAAACGGCUUUUGUUGUUAUGUUUAAUAACAUUGUAAGCGCAUUUGUGAAAAUUUCUUCUGGUGUAUUUCCAGCAAAAUUGUAAAACUUUUAAAAGAAUUGACUUAAAA
Long non-coding RNA from Carcharodon carcharias (great white shark), 3322 nucleotides. RefSeq lists it as uncharacterized. NCBI's taxonomy places the organism in Eukaryota, Metazoa, Chordata, Chondrichthyes, Lamniformes, Lamnidae. The transcript has 3 exons. The record is from RefSeq and is a predicted model, not a curated record.